This 483-nucleotide ribosomal RNA is filed under the name uncultured Coriobacteriaceae bacterium. RNAcentral's name for it is "partial 16S ribosomal RNA". Lineage: Bacteria; Bacillati; Actinomycetota; Coriobacteriia; Coriobacteriales; Coriobacteriaceae. The record is from RNAcentral.
CACGUAGUUAGCCGGGGCUUCUUCUGCAGGUACCGUCAUGGUUCUUCCCUGCUGAAAGCGGUUUACAACCCGAAGGCCUUCGUCCCGCACGCGGCGUUGCUGCGUCAGGGUUGCCCCCAUUGCGCAAUAUUCCCCACUGCUGCCUCCCGUAGGAGUCUGGGCCGUAUCUCAGUCCCAAUGUGGCCGAUCGCCCUCUCAGGCCGGCUACCCAUCGCAGGCUAGGUGGGCCGUUGCCCCGCCUACUACCUAAUGGGCCGCGACCCCAUCCCGCACCGUCUGGGCUUUCCCGGGCCGCGCAUGCGCGAGGCCCGGAGUAUCCGGUAUUAGCCGCCGUUUCCGGCGGUUGUCCCGGGGUGCGGGGCAGGUUGGUCACGUGUUACUCACCCGUUCGCCACUCUAUGACCGCCCGAAGGCGGGUUAUUCGUUCGACUUGCAUGUGUUAGGCACGCCGCCAGCGUUCAUCCUGAGCCAGGAUCAAACUCU